RNAcentral lists this ribosomal RNA (497 nucleotides) under uncultured bacterium. Its description in RNAcentral is "partial 16S ribosomal RNA". It matches the Rfam family "Bacterial small subunit ribosomal RNA", at positions 28 to 507 of the family's 1533-position model. The record is from RNAcentral.
GAUGAACGCUGGCGGCGUGCCUAAUACAUGCCAGUCGAGCGAACAGACGAGGAGCUUGCUCCUCUGACGUUAGCGGCGGACGGGUGAGUAACACGUGGAUAACCUACCUAUAAGACUGGGAUAACUUCGGGGAACCGGAGCUAAUACCGGAUAAUAUAUUGAACCGCAUGGUUCAAUAGUGAAAGACGGUUUUGCUGUCACUUAUAGAUGGAUCCGCGCCGCAUUAGCUAGUUGGUAAGGUAACGGCUUACCAAGGCAACGAUGCGUAGCCGACCUGAGAGGGUGAUCGGCCACACUGGAACUGAGACACGGUCCAGACUCCUACGGGAGGCAGCAGUAGGGAAUCUUCCGCAAUGGGCGAAAGCCUGACGGAGCAACGCCGCGUGAGUGAUGAAGGUCUUCGGAUCGUAAAACUCUGUUAUUAGGGAAGAACAAAUGUGUAAGUAACUAUGCACGUCUUGACGGUACCUAAUCAGAAAGCCACGGCUAACUACGUG